GACGAACGCUGGCGGCGUGCUUAACACAUGCAAGUCGAACGGAAAGGCCCUGCUUUUGUGGGGUGCUCGAGUGGCGAACGGGUGAGUAACACGUGAGUAACCUGCCCUUGACUUUGGGAUAACUUCAGGAAACUGGGGCUAAUACCGGAUAGGAGCUCCUGCUGCAUGGUGGGGGUUGGAAAGUUUCGGCGGUUGGGGAUGGACUCGCGGCUUAUCAGCUUGUUGGUGGGGUAGUGGCUUACCAAGGCUUUGACGGGUAGCCGGCCUGAGAGGGUGACCGGCCACAUUGGGACUGAGAUAAGGCCGAGCCUACUACGGGAGGCAGCAGUGGGGAAUAUUGCACCAUGGGCGGAAGCCUGCUGCAGCAACGCCGCGUGCGGGAUGACGGCCUUCGGGUUGUAAACAGCUUUCGCCUGUGAAGAAGAGUGAGUGACGGUAAUGGGUAAAGAAGCACCGGCUAACUACGUG
Molecule: ribosomal RNA, 468 nt
Filed under: uncultured bacterium
Lineage: Bacteria
Description: partial 16S ribosomal RNA
Rfam family: Bacterial small subunit ribosomal RNA
Source: RNAcentral